AGCCCUCUGUGGAACACAGGUUGUUUGUUUGGACUUUAUUGGGAUUUUUUCCAGACCGACUCCCCCCUCUACGCGUCGUCUCCGCUAUUUGAAAAUACUUUGAGGACAUAACCUUCCCAGAUCCACGACAGCCCCCAAAGCUCCCUCACGGAUUCCCUCACGGCUUUUGAAUAUCUGAUAGUGACUGUUUGACUCAUGACAUGCCUUCUCUAGUUGAUUGCUUACACUGUGCCUUAUUAAAGUUUUUGUUAAUGAGGCAUUCAAUGUAAAAUAGGAAUUCUGAGUUGUGCCUCACUUCUAGUUCUCUUGAAUGCUUUCAUAGCUAGGAUAAGGUUCGUUUCUGCCUUCCUGAAUUAGCGUUAAAGGGUUAAUCAUAUUAGUCUGGCGUUUUCCUAGUUUUCUUGCCCUCCUUAGUUGCACUCGUCGCCAGGUUUUCCUUAAUUUCUUCUGAUUUGUUACCUUGUGUAAAUAAACGCUGUUGUCACAUUUUCA
Molecule: long non-coding RNA, 492 nt
Organism: Oreochromis niloticus (Nile tilapia)
Lineage: Eukaryota; Metazoa; Chordata; Actinopteri; Cichliformes; Cichlidae
Exons: 2
Source: RefSeq, a predicted model, not a curated record